Molecule: long non-coding RNA, 3346 nt
Organism: Callithrix jacchus (white-tufted-ear marmoset)
Lineage: Eukaryota; Metazoa; Chordata; Mammalia; Primates; Cebidae
Source: RefSeq, a predicted model, not a curated record
GUUCUCACCUACAUGUGGUAUUUUCAGUUAUUAAUUUCUAGUGACUCAUGAUAUUCACUGUAGUUUUAAUUUGCAUUUCUCUGAUAUCGAGUUGAAUUAUUUCCUAAUGCCUUUCAAUACUUUCAGAACGUCUAUCUUCCCUCCCUGACAGAGGCUGCAUAUUUCUUUUAUCUUUUUUUUAAAAUUUUUGGAUCUCUGUGUGUUUAUUCAUUAAAAACAUUUUAAUGGGGUAUUUCAAAGCUAAGUAAAGCUAGUGAGUAACAAACCCUUAUGGACUCACCCUCAUAUGUAAGAAUCAUCAAAACGAGCCCCUCAUUUUUCAUCUAUUAACACCUUUCAAAUUCACCAUAACCCUACCCACCCCCACACUAAAUAAUAAUAAUAAUAAUAAUAAUAUUUGAGAUGGAGUUGCACUCUUGUUCCCCAGACUGGAGUGCAGUGGCAAAAUCUCGGCUUACCACAACCUCCGCCUCCUGGGUUCAAGCGAUUCUCCUACCUUAGCUUCUUGAAUAACUGGGAUUAUAGGCAUGUACCACCAUGCCUGGCUAAUUUUGUAUUUUUAGUAGUAGAGACAAGGUUUCUCCAUGUUGGUGAGGCUGGUCUUGAACUCCUGACCUCAGGUGAUCCGCCUGUCUCAGCCUCUCAAAGUGCUGGGAUUACAGGCUUGAGCCACCGCACCUGGCAACAUUGAAUUAUUUUAAAGAAAAUCUGGGACAGCAUCUUUCUUGUGUUUGUCUAGUGUUUAGAGAAAUACCCAAAAAGAGGGAGACACCCAAAAUUUAUAUGACCAAAUAUUCUGUUUAUAUUUACCCUACUUUAUAUUAUGAUCUUUCCUUAAAGACAGACCAUUACUUUGAGGCAGCUAAUUAAUGGCAUAAAUGGUAAAUUUAAACAGGAAUAUCAUGAGCUUCUUUCCAAAACUACCAAAUUGGCAUCUGGUCUCUGUUGUCAGAGGGAUGGUUGAAGUUGAGAAAUAUUAAAGUUUUCUUUGAGCUGAUCAGCAUCUUGAUUACUUGCCAAGAUUUUUUAGUUAUGAAGCAGUGUCUUUGGAUAAAUCAGCCAUGAAAAUGAGCUUUAGCUAUGGCAGAUUUCUAGCCCUUAGAAGUUGUUUAUGAAACUCUGUAUUAGGGUGAAUACUGAAUAGUCCAUCACACCAAUAAUGGGGCUAGAACAAAAUUGCUUGACUCUGGUUCGAUGCUACUUUAAUACCCUAAGUUGUAAAACUGGCUGUCAGAAUGGAAUAAACAAUCAGAGGAGCCUGCAGCAGAAAAUAUUCUGGCCUUGAUGAUUGGGCUAAAGUAAAGCAGAUGUAAGUCACAUUUCUGGAGCUUGCUUUUUUUCUGAGGCAUAAUUCACAAUGUAAAAAUUCUCCAAGAAAACGGCUCUUCUGCUGGUUAAGAGGUAAAUAAGACUGCUUGAGAUGUCAGAAUAAAGAAAAUCUUUCCACCUGGACUUGUUGAAGCUUUUGAUAAAUUCACUGAAAUUUAGCAGAGUAAUAAAGAACCUUACCGGAUCAUUAGGCUUUUCCUUGGAAAGAAAGUAUACCACAGACAGGGAAACGAUGGAAUUAAUGCCAAAAAACAAGUUGACACACACGUAAGUGAUGAAGGCCAUUCCUGUUUCAUGGAAGAGCCCAGCCAGCAAGUACAUCCAAGAAAAUGUUGCAUACCUGCAGGGGACCUUGGUUAACCAAAGUCACAAAUGGGCUGUCAACAGUUUCCCAAAGGAAAACAAUGUGAAGAAUCAAGAAAUAAUCUUUCACCAGAGGAAUCCUUGCAAAUGCAUAUUACUCCACUAUGCAAAAUCCUGUGGAACCAGUUUUUUAUACAUAUUUUUAGCUGAAAGAUCAAGGAAAUGUGUCACAGUUGGGGACCUAUAUUAUAAUUAUCCCUGUAGGUUAUACAGCAUCCAGCAUGAUGUCCAAAGUAGAGGGAGUGGUCAAUAAAUGCUUUUAAAUGAACUCAAAUCCUAAAAUUUCAAUUCAUAUUGCUAAUUAGAUGCUUCCCAUGGACCACUGCCUCUAAUGCAACAAAGUAAGAAUAAACACUGGAGUCCAAGAGAAAAUGUGUUAGUAUUCUUGAAAAAGAGGCUAGUUGUAUAACAUUUGUUAAGGAAAACAAGCAAAUCUGUAUUUUUUUUUAGAAGAAAGAACAGAAUUUUUAUGCUGUAUUAACCACUAGAGGGAACCACAUGAAUAUAAUAGGUAAUGGUAUUGCAAAGGAAAGCUAAUUAAAAGAUUUUUAUUAGCAUGUUAGAAUUCAAAGAAAAUCAAUUUUACAGUUAAAGUAAAAUCCAAAUUCAUGCAAAAUCUAACAAAGAUGCUUUCAAACAAGUAGUGUGUUAGAGGGAGGCAGCGGGAGAAUAAUUGGGUUGAUUUUUAAAACCAAUAAUUUUUUUACAAUGGUAGACCUCAUACAUGCAUUAAGAAACAAUAAAAGUACGUUAGGAUGAUGUAGAUUUCUUCUUUGAAGGAGAUCGGGUUCCUUCCAAAGAGAGUGGAAACUUAUGAUGUCUAUAAGUUUAUUUAAGAAAAAUUAUUAGAGGGUAGAAGACAUGUUAUUACUAAUUUCUAUAUAACUCAAGCUAAAUCUUAUAUUAGUUUUAAUUAAAGUAAACUUCAGUUUAGGGUCAAAAUAAACUUUAUGUUCUAGAAUUCUUUAUACUCUGUAACUUAAAAUGUAAUGUUAGGUGCUACAACAAGCCUACUAGAGUCUAGAGUGACUCAGAUUGCCUUGGUCAGAAUAAAGAGCACUAAUUAUAAAGGAAGCCAGAAUACAGGUUUUAAAAAGCUGACCCUUCAAAAGUAGCAGGGGUCUCUUGUUCUCUUUAUUUUUGCUACAUUUUCCCUGUUAUUUCUGUCGUUCUUAUACUUUCAUUAUCUGUCUCAACAAUAAAUGUUUUUGCUCUGAAUAAAACACCCUACUGAAAGUACAGUGUCCAGUAGUGUUUCAUACCAGGUUACACUAGACCCAACUCACUUUAGUCAUCAUUUAAUUUCAUUUACCACUUUUGACUUUUAUCUUUAUUGAUGCUCUAGAUCUCAGGACUAUCAAUCUUGUUAUUUGCUUCUUGGUUUCUUCUGCUAGGAAAAUGCCAAAGCAAUUGGAAAAAAAAAAUACCAUUUUAUCUGAAAUGAAGAACCCUCAAGAUCCUGUUGCUGUGAUCAGUAUUGGACUCUUCAGUCUACUUCUGCAGUCACCAUCUGGCACACACUAUGAUGCCCAACAGUAGGGAGGGGAAAAAAAGUAGCUGUUGGCAUUUUGGCAUUUCCAAAAGAUAUGUUUUACAGUUUUUUCUACUUAAUAGACUAUUUAUCAAGCUAUAAAUCUCAAUCUUGGCAAGCAAA